Long non-coding RNA from Thamnophis elegans (Western terrestrial garter snake), 1090 nucleotides. RefSeq lists it as uncharacterized. NCBI's taxonomy places the organism in Eukaryota, Metazoa, Chordata, Lepidosauria, Squamata, Natricidae. The record is from RefSeq and is a predicted model, not a curated record. The transcript has 3 exons.
CCAGCAUUCGCUGGCUGGGGAAUUCUGGGAGUUGAAGUCCAGACAUCUUCAAGUGGCCAAGGUUGAGAAACACUCGUCUAGAUGAAAAAUCACUUCCAUUCUCAUAAUUUAUUCAUACAAUCAGCCGUACAAUUACCGAUGAACAUAUAACAGUGUUUCUCAACCUUGGCCACUUGAAGAUGUCCGGACUUCAACUCCCAGAAUUCCCCAGCCAGCGAAUGCCAAGGUUGAGAAACCCUGCCCUGGAGUAUACCAUCUGUAAACUGAGAAAACUCUGGUCAAGGUUAAAACAAAAGUGGGAUGCUAGCUGAGAAAAUACAUUAUAUUAAAAAAAAAAAAAACCCCAACCCUGCCGUCGCCCCACGAGGGAGCUGGCGUUACUGGCAAAACCUCCCGAUCUGAAAGGAUUAUCCCUGCCAGCCGUUACAGACCCGUCAAGGCGGCCUGGGCGACGUGUCCUCGAGAGGAGAGGUAGCAAGUUCACGCCGCAAUUUCUCCCCACGCGUUCGGAGCCUCAAGCCUUUAAGGAGGCUGGCGAAGGGGACACACACACGGGGACUUCACGGGAUACACGGAGACGAGGAAACGCCGCGUGCUCUUCUCCGCAGAAAGGCAAAGGCUUUCCGGGGAAGGCGAAGAAGCAGCAGCAAAACCCCAAACGGACGGAACUGGAGGGUGGAAUAAAUCACCAGGAAAUCUGGGAAGCGUCCCAGCUCUUUUUUCCCAGGAAGAAAAGAGGGUAACGCGCAGCAAGAUGGAUGGACUCUUUACAGUUAUGAUGAUGGAUGCACCAUUAGAAGAGUGGAAAGAACAGCUGAAGAGAGAUCUCACAAGAGAAAAUCUAUGCAGGCUGAGCUCACCCGGCAACUGGAUUAUAUGCUGAUUGGACCAGAACUGCCAGACAAAAAAUAUGGAGAUGAAAAUUAAGCUACAAAAGUUUUCCUUAACAAGAGGUCAAGAGAAAGCUCAUCUUCAGGAACUUCUCCCGAGAUGGUCUACAGAAUGGCGGGGCAGGGCUGUCUUAGAGCCAAGGUGGCGCAGUGGUUAAAUGCAGCACUGCAGGCUACUGCUAGAUCAGCAGUUCAGCGGU